This 306-nucleotide ribosomal RNA is filed under the name Enterococcus hirae. RNAcentral describes it as "bacterial LSU rRNA". It matches the Rfam family "Bacterial large subunit ribosomal RNA", at positions 123 to 483 of the family's 2925-position model. The record is from RNAcentral. Lineage: Bacteria; Bacillati; Bacillota; Bacilli; Lactobacillales; Enterococcaceae.
AUAAUAGGCUGAAACAGGUACUUAAAACCUGAAUACAUAGGGUUUUAAGAGCAAACCCGGAGAACUGAAACAUCUAAGUACCCGGAGGAAAGGACAGCAACAGCGACUCCCCUAGUAGCGGCGAGCGAACGGGGAUUAGCCCUUAAGCAAUAUGAAGGCUAGGAGAAGACUCUGGAAAGGGUCGCCAUAGUGGGUGAUAGCCCCGUAUCCGAAAAUCUGAUCAGGUGAAAUCGAGUAGGUCGGAGCACGUGAAACUCUGACUGAACAUGGGGGGACCAUCCUCCAAGGCUAAAUACUCCUGGCUGA